ACGGGUGAGUAACGCGUGGGAAUCUACCGUACCCUACGGAAUAGCUCUGGGAAACUGGAAGUAAUACCGUAUACGCCCUAACGGGGAAAGAUUUAUCGGGGUAUGAUGAGCCCGCGUUGGAUUAGCUAGUUGGUGGGGUAAAGGCCUACCAAGGCGACGAUCCAUAGCUGGUCUGAGAGGAUGAUCAGCCACAUUGGGACUGAGACACGGCCCAAACUCCUACGGGAGGCAGCAGUGGGGAAUAUUGGACAAUGGGGGCAACCCUGAUCCAGCCAUGCCGCGUGAGUGAUGAAGGUCUUAGGAUUGUAAAGCUCUUUCAACGGUGAAGAUAAUGGCGGUAACCGUAGAAGAAGCCCCGGCUAACUUCGUGCCAGCAGCCGCGGUAAUACGAAGGGGGCUAGCGUUGUUCGGAAUUACUGGGCGUAAAGCGCACGUAGGCGGGUAUUUAAGUCAGGGGUGAAAUCCCGCAGCUCAACUGCGGAACUGCCUUUGAUACUGGGUAUCUUGAGUAUGGAAGAGGUAAGUGGAAUUGCGAGU
Molecule: ribosomal RNA, 537 nt
Filed under: uncultured bacterium
Lineage: Bacteria
Description: bacterial SSU rRNA
Rfam family: Bacterial small subunit ribosomal RNA
Source: RNAcentral